UGCAGUCGAGCGGUAGCACAGAGAGCUUGCUCUCGGGUGACGAGCGGCGGACGGGUGAGUAAUGUCUGGGAAACUGCCUGAUGGAGGGGGAUAACUACUGGAAACGGUAGCUAAUACCGCAUAACGUCGCAAGACCAAAGAGGGGGACCUUCGGGCCUCUUGCCAUCAGAUGUGCCCAGAUGGGAUUAGCUAGUAGGUGGGGUAACGGCUCACCUAGGCGACGAUCCCUAGCUGGUCUGAGAGGAUGACCAGCCACACUGGAACUGAGACACGGUCCAGACUCCUACGGGAGGCAGCAGUGGGGAAUAUUGCACAAUGGGCGCAAGCCUGAUGCAGCCAUGCCGCGUGUAUGAAGAAGGCCUUCGGGUUGUAAAGUACUUUCAGCGGGGAGGAAGGUGUUGUGGUUAAUAACCRCRGCAAUUGACGUUACCCGCAGAAGAAGCACCGGCUAACUCCGUGCCAGCAGCCGCGGUAAUGCGGAGGGUGCAAGCGUUAAUCGGAAUUACUGGGCGUAAAGCGCACGCAGGCGGUCUGUCAAGUCGGAUGUGAAAUCCCCGGGCUCAACCUGGGAACUGCAUUCGAAACUGGCAGGCUAGAGUCUUGUAGAGGGGGGUAGAAUUCCAGGUGUAGCGGUGAAAUGCGUAGAGAUCUGGAGGAAUACCGGUGGCGAAGGCGGCCCCCUGGACAAAGACUGACGCUCAGGUGCGAAAGCGUGGGGAGCAAACAGGAUUAGAUACCCUGGUAGUCCACGCUGUAAACGAUGUCGAC
Molecule: ribosomal RNA, 768 nt
Filed under: Enterobacter sp.
Lineage: Bacteria; Pseudomonadati; Pseudomonadota; Gammaproteobacteria; Enterobacterales; Enterobacteriaceae
Description: bacterial SSU rRNA
Source: RNAcentral